AACACUGUUAACCUGCGGUACCUGCGGAGGGAUCAUUACUGUGAUUUACUACUACACUGCGUGAGCGGAACGAAAACAACAACACCUAAAAUGUGGAAUAUAGCAUAUAGUCGACAAGGGAAAUCUACGAAAAAACAAACAAAACUUUUAACAACGGAUCU
Molecule: unclassified non-coding RNA, 161 nt
Filed under: soil metagenome
Description: partial contains 5.8S ribosomal RNA, internal transcribed spacer 2, and large subunit ribosomal RNA
Source: RNAcentral